GAUGAACGCUGGCGGCGUGCCUAAUACAUGCAAGUUGAGCGCUGAAGGUUGGUACUUGUACCAAUGGGAUGAGCAGCGAACGGGUGAGUAACGCGUGGGGAAUCUGCCUUUGAGCGGGGGACAACAUUUGGAAACGAAUGCUAAUACCGCAUAAAAAUUUUAAACACAAGUUUUAAGUUUGAAAGAUGCAAUUGCAUUACCUAAAGAUGAUACCGCGUUGUAUUAGCUAGUUGGUUAGGUAAAGGCCCACCAAGGCGAUGAUACAUAGCCGACCCGAGAGGGGUGACGGCCAAAAUGGGACUUGGACACGGGCCCAGCCUCUACCGGAGGCAGCAGUAGGGGAUCUUCGGCAAUGGAGGGAAGUCCGGACGGGGCAAGCCGCGGGAGUGAAGGAGGGUUUCCGAUCGUAAAAACCUGUUUGUAAGGGAGGACGAUGGGGGGAGGGGAAAGCUCAUCACUUGACGGUAACUACCCAGAAAGGGACGGCUAACUACGUG
RNAcentral lists this ribosomal RNA (497 nucleotides) under uncultured bacterium. RNAcentral describes it as "partial 16S ribosomal RNA". It matches the Rfam family "Bacterial small subunit ribosomal RNA", at positions 28 to 507 of the family's 1533-position model. The record is from RNAcentral.